Molecule: ribosomal RNA, 253 nt
Filed under: uncultured bacterium
Lineage: Bacteria
Description: partial 16S ribosomal RNA
Rfam family: Bacterial small subunit ribosomal RNA
Source: RNAcentral
GACAGAGGGGGCAAGCGUUGCUCGGAAUCACUGGGCGUAAAGGGCGCGUAGGCGGGAUGGCAAGUCAGUCGUGAAAUCUCUCGGCUCAACCGAGAAACGUCGGCUGAUACUGCCGUUCUUGAGGGAUGCAGAGGAGACUGGAAUUCCCGGUGUAGCGGUGAAAUGUGUAGAGAUCGGGAGGAACACCGGUGGCGAAGGCGGCGACCUGGGCCAAUACUGACGCUGAGGUGCGAAAGCGUGGGGAGCAAACAGG